Molecule: ribosomal RNA, 59 nt
Filed under: Pseudomonas syringae
Lineage: Bacteria; Pseudomonadati; Pseudomonadota; Gammaproteobacteria; Pseudomonadales; Pseudomonadaceae
Source: RNAcentral
CUUGACGACCAUAGAACAUUGGAACCACCUGAUCCCAUCCCGAACUCAGUAGUGAAACG